AUAAUAAAUAAAACACAGACAAAGCUUUCUUUGUCGGGCCGGUUAUUCCGGCAGCGGAUGGGUAACACAGCGUCCGCGGGACAAUA
This 86-nucleotide non-coding RNA is filed under the name unclassified sequences. RNAcentral's name for it is "NiCo sequence". It matches the Rfam family "NiCo (Nickel/Cobalt) riboswitch aptamer". The record is from RNAcentral.